GGGUUGUGAGGUUAAGCGACUAAGCGUACACGGUGGAUGCCCUGGCAGUCAGAGGCGAUGAAGGGCGUGCUAAUCUGCGAUAAGCGCCGGUAAGGUGAUAUGAACCGUUAUAACCGGCGAUACCCGAAUGGGGAAACCCAGUGUGAUUCGUCACACUAUCAUUAACUGAAUCCAUAGGUUAAUGAGGCGAACCGGGGGAACUGAAACAUCUAAGUACCCCGAGGAAAAGAAAUCAACCGAGAUUCCCCCAGUAGCGGCGAGCGAACGGGGAGGAGCCCAGAGCCUGAAUCAGCAUGUGUGUUAGUGGAAGCGUCUGGAAAGGCGCGCGAUACAGGGUGACAGCCCCGUACACAAAAGCGCAUGUGCUGUGAGCUCGAUGAGUAGGGCGGGACACGUGGUAUCCUGUCUGAAUAUGGGGGGACCAUCCUCCAAGGCUAAAUACUCCUGACUGACCGAUAGUGAACCAGUACCGUGAGGGAAAGGCGAAAAGAACCCCGGCGAGGGGAGUGAAAAAGAACCUGAAACCGUGUACGUACAAGCAGUGGGAGCCCCACCACUAAGCCAGUGGUGAACUCCACAUACGCAUCCUUUGCUGAGGAUACGGUUAACGGAGCGAAAGCGACGUUCAACCUCAAAAGAAGCAGAGGGGGCUUAGUGGUGGGGUGACUGCGUACCUUUUGUAUAAUGGGUCAGCGACUUAUAUUCUGUAGCAAGGUUAACCGUAUAGGGGAGCCGGAGGGAAACCGAGUCUUAAUUGGGCGUUAAGUUGCAGGGUAUAGACCCGAAACCCGGUGAUCUAGCCAUGGGCAGGUUGAAGGUUGGGUAACACUAACUGGAGGACCGAACCGACUAAUGUUGAAAAAUUAGCGGAUGACCUGUGGCUGGGGGUGAAAGGCCAAUCAAACCGGGAGAUAGCUGGUUCUCCCCGAAAGCUAUUUAGGUAGCGCCUCGUGAAUUCAUCUCCGGGGGUAGAGCACUGUUUCGGCUAGGGGGCCAUCCCGGCUUACCAACCCGAUGCAAACUGCGAAUACCGGAGAAUGUUAUCACGGGAGACACACGGCGGGUGCUAACGUCCGUCGUGAAGAGGGAAACAACCCAGACCGCCAGCUAAGGUCCCAAAGUCAUGGUUAAGUGGGAAACGAUGUGGGAAGGCCCAGACAGCCAGGAUGUUGGCUUAGAAGCAGCCAUCAUUUAAAGAAAGCGUAAUAGCUCACUGGUCGAGUCGGCCUGCGCGGAAGAUGUAACGGGGCUAAACCAUGCACCGAAGCUGCGGCAGCGACGCUGAUGCGUUGUUGGGUAGGGGAGCGUUCUGUAAGCCUGUGAAGGUGGCCUGUGAGGGUUGCUGGAGGUAUCAGAAGUGCGAAUGCUGACAUAAGUAACGAUAAAGCGGGUGAAAAGCCCGCUCGCCGGAAGACCAAGGGUUCCUGUCCAACGUUAAUCGGGGCAGGGUGAGUCGACCCCUAAGGCGAGGCCGAAAGGCGUAGUCGAUGGGAAACGGGUUAAUAUUCCCGUACUUGGUGUUACUGCGAAGGGGGGACGGAGAAGGCUAUGUUGGCCGGGCGACGGUUGUCCCGGUUUAAGCGUGUAGGUGUGUGUUCCAGGUAAAUCCGGUUCACUUUAACACUGAGGCGUGACGACGAGGCACUACGGUGCUGAAGCAACAAAUGCCCUGCUUCCAGGAAAAGCCUCUAAGCAUCAGGUAACAUCAAAUCGUACCCCAAACCGACACAGGUGGUCAGGUAGAGAAUACCAAGGCGCUUGAGAGAACUCGGGUGAAGGAACUAGGCAAAAUGGUGCCGUAACUUCGGGAGAAGGCACGCUGACACGUAGGUGAAGUGAUUUACUCAUGGAGCUGAAGUCAGUCGAAGAUACCAGCUGGCUGCAACUGUUUAUUAAAAACACAGCACUGUGCAAACACGAAAGUGGACGUAUACGGUGUGACGCCUGCCCGGUGCCGGAAGGUUAAUUGAUGGGGUCAGCGCAAGCGAAGCUCCUGAUCGAAGCCCCGGUAAACGGCGGCCGUAACUAUAACGGUCCUAAGGUAGCGAAAUUCCUUGUCGGGUAAGUUCCGACCUGCACGAAUGGCGUAAUGAUGGCCAGGCUGUCUCCACCCGAGACUCAGUGAAAUUGAACUCGCUGUGAAGAUGCAGUGUACCCGCGGCAAGACGGAAAGACCCCGUGAACCUUUACUAUAGCUUGACACUGAACAUUGAGCCUUGAUGUGUAGGAUAGGUGGGAGGCUUUGAAGUGUGGACGCCAGUCUGCAUGGAGCCGACCUUGAAAUACCACCCUUUAAUGUUUGAUGUUCUAACGUGGACCCGUGAUCCGGGUUGCGGACAGUGUCUGGUGGGUAGUUUGACUGGGGCGGUCUCCUCCUAAAGAGUAACGGAGGAGCACGAAGGUUGGCUAAUCCUGGUCGGACAUCAGGAGGUUAGUGCAAUGGCAUAAGCCAGCUUGACUGCGAGCGUGACGGCGCGAGCAGGUGCGAAAGCAGGUCAUAGUGAUCCGGUGGUUCUGAAUGGAAGGGCCAUCGCUCAACGGAUAAAAGGUACUCCGGGGAUAACAGGCUGAUACCGCCCAAGAGUUCAUAUCGACGGCGGUGUUUGGCACCUCGAUGUCGGCUCAUCACAUCCUGGGGCUGAAGUAGGUCCCAAGGGUAUGGCUGUUCGCCAUUUAAAGUGGUACGCGAGCUGGGUUUAGAACGUCGUGAGACAGUUCGGUCCCUAUCUGCCGUGGGCGCUGGAGAACUGAGGGGGGCUGCUCCUAGUACGAGAGGACCGGAGUGGACGCAUCACUGGUGUUCGGGUUGUCAUGCCAAUGGCACUGCCCGGUAGCUAAAUGCGGAAGAGAUAAGUGCUGAAAGCAUCUAAGCACGAAACUUGCCCCGAGAUGAGUUCUCCCUGAGACUUAGAGUCUCCUGAAGGAACGUUGAAGACGACGACGUUGAUAGGCCGGGUGUGUAAGCGCAGCGAUGCGUUGAGCUAACCGGUACUAAUGAACCGUGAGGCUUAACCUUACAACGCCGAAG
This 3028-nucleotide ribosomal RNA is filed under the name Salmonella enterica subsp. enterica serovar Senftenberg. Its description in RNAcentral is "bacterial LSU rRNA". It matches the Rfam family "Bacterial large subunit ribosomal RNA". The record is from RNAcentral. Lineage: Bacteria; Pseudomonadati; Pseudomonadota; Gammaproteobacteria; Enterobacterales; Enterobacteriaceae. RNAcentral also lists the same sequence under 3 other names.